RNAcentral lists this ribosomal RNA (468 nucleotides) under uncultured bacterium. Its description in RNAcentral is "partial 16S ribosomal RNA". It matches the Rfam family "Bacterial small subunit ribosomal RNA", at positions 28 to 507 of the family's 1533-position model. The record is from RNAcentral.
GACGAACGCUGGCGGCGUGCUUAACACAUGCAAGUCGAACGGAAAGGCCCUGCUUUUGUGGGGUGCUCGAGUGGCGAACGGGUGAGUAACACGUGAGUAACCUGCCCUUGACUUUGGGAUAACUUCAGGAAACUGGGGCUAAUACCGGAUAGGAGCUCCUGCUGCAUGGUGGGGGUUGGAAAGUUUCGGCGGUUGGGGAUGGACUCGCGGCUUAUCAGCUUGUUGGUGGGGUAGUGACUUACCAAGGCUUUGACGGGUAGCCGGCCUGAGAGGGUGACCGGCCACAUUGGGACUGAGAUACGGCCCAGACUCCUACGGGAGGCAGCAGUGGGGAAUAUUGCACAAUGGGCGGAAGCCUGAUGCAGCAACGCCGCGUGCGGGAUGUCGGCCUUCGGGUUGUAAACCGCUUUCGCCUGUGACGAAGCGUGAGUGGCGGUAAUGGGUAAAGAAGCACCGGCUAACUACGUG